Hyla sarda is the source of this 1149-nucleotide RNA transcript. RefSeq lists it as uncharacterized. The record is from RefSeq and is a predicted model, not a curated record. NCBI's taxonomy places the organism in Eukaryota, Metazoa, Chordata, Amphibia, Anura, Hylidae. The transcript has 5 exons.
UUGCAGUGGUGCCCAGGUUUUCCUUAGCUCUUUCCAAUAAAGAUUGUCCAUCCUUUACAUGCGCAGGAGGCUGCUGAUUGACUGCAGUAGUCACAUGACCCUGGGGCACUCACUGAAGAUAUCCACUACUGAAGACCAGAGCGCAGGACUGAAGCAUGGAAAUGGAGGCGGAGGAUCUUCAGGAUCAUGUGCUGCAAGGCAUGAACCAUUUUUUUCUUCAGCUCUUCAACUCUGCGCUAUCAUUGUGAACUUGGACCAGGUAUCAUUAUGGAUAAGAGAAAGCAUUCCAUUGUAUUGCCUUGCCGUGUACCAGAUCUUCUGCUCUUGUGACUUGACCAUGCUCCUCUGCCGCCUGCCUACUGAACUCCUGCUACGUCCUGACUACGCUACUGUGCCGCCUGCCCUGACCUACUGCUAUCCUGACUAUGAGUUGCCUCAUCCCUCCUGUGCCUCGCAUCUCCCCAGCCGCCUGUGUGGUCGAGCCAUGCCAGGGGUAGCGACCUGGGUGUCGCCUGCAGCUGCAAGCCCAUCCUGCUUUGCUGCGGGCUCUGGUGAAGACCAGCGGCACCUUAGACUCGGCUCCCUGGUAUGGUCCGAGUCAUCUGCCACACAGGUCCAGCGGAUCCACAUACAUCGGAGUUCCUGUGUUCAGAAAGGCUUUGAUAUUACAACACGGAACAAAACUUUUUAUCAGCACUGCUUGGUUGAGACGCCACCAGCCGGGACUGUCUGCCACACAAAGUGUGCUGCCCUACUGGAGGACAUAAAACUGCUGUGACAGUGUUGGGUCCCAUUUCUUCAUCCAAUCUAAAGGUACAUGGAUAGCAGAAUUGAGUUCGUGCGAGAUGUCAAUUACUAUGUGAACGGUGGUGGGUGCACGAUAGGGUCACUUGAGAAAGGGGGCGUGUCCUCCAAAAUGUCGGAAGUGUCCGGCAACUACUCAACGGUCUACCCCUUCGGGAGAGGAAGGAAGGAAGAUAAGCCUCCGGGAGGCCCAAGAAAGGGUGAAACAUAUCCAGUCAGCUUAACAAGGAUUGUUGGGCGUAUCUAGUGAGCACUCUGGGUGAUAAAACUUUUUGUAUCUAUUGAUGAAUAUGAAAUUGGUGGUCUGCAGAUCGAUUUUUGUACCAUGAAUAUUUGAAUACUAAA